CAUUUGUGUACCUACCUCUGUUGCUUUGGCGGGCCGCGGUCCUCCGCGGCCGCCCCCCUCCCCGGGGGGGUGGCCAGCGCCCGCCAGAGGACCAUCAAACUCCAGUCAGUAAACGAUGCAGUCUGAAAAACAUUUAAUAAACUAAAACUUUCAACAACGGAUCUCUUGGUUCUGGCAUCGAUGAAGAACGCAGCGAAAUGCGAUAAGUAAUGUGAAUUGCAGAAUUCAGUGAAUCAUCGAAUCUUUGAACGCACAUUGCGCCCUUUGGUAUUCCGAAGGGCAUGCCUGUUCGAGCGUCAUUACAACCCUCAAGCUCUGCUUGGUAUUGGGCACCGUCCUUUGCGGGCGCGCCUCAAAGACCUCGGCGGUGGCGUCUUGCCUCAAGCGUAGUAGAACAUACAUCUCGCUUCGGAGCGCAGGGCGUCGCCCGCCGGACGAACCUUCUGAACUUUUCUCAAGGUUGACCUCGGAUCAGGUAGGGAUACCCGCUGAACUUAAGCAUAUCAAUAAGCGGAGGA
RNAcentral lists this ribosomal RNA (518 nucleotides) under Botryosphaeria dothidea. Its description in RNAcentral is "eukaryotic LSU rRNA". The stretch from base 146 to 299 matches the Rfam family "5.8S ribosomal RNA". The record is from RNAcentral. Lineage: Eukaryota; Fungi; Ascomycota; Dothideomycetes; Botryosphaeriales; Botryosphaeriaceae.